AUUUUCAAUGCAGGAACUCAAUAUACAAUCAUCCUGGCUGGUGCAGGGCAAGAAGACAUUAGCAACAAAAUAAGAUCUACUGAUGUAUACACUCUAUACAAUCAUCUGAGAAAAACUCCAUUCCUCCACCAAGAACUUGAUGAGACUGGCUUUGUUGGCAGGGCUGCAGAGAAGUUUCCUCCACUGCUGAAUAUUGUGGCCAGAAACAAUGUUUCUGAACUGGAUCCCCAUGUCUGCACCUCUGUUUAGUCUUUCUGAAUUUUAGAUUGACAUGUCCUUGUAAACGUCAAAGACAACGUCAAUCCUUUCACUAUCACCACCUUCAUGCAGGACCUUGGCUAAAGUUGAGUCCAGCCAGCUUCCACCAUGUCAGGAUUGCGUAUUAAUGCAACCGAUUCGUGCCAACUACCAGGUUGCUAUCUGGAGACGGUCUCUCCAUACCAAGCCAUCUGUACCAAGCCCCAAGGACCAUGGGUGGACCAUAAAUGACGAAGGGCAGCUGGAAAUACAGUGGAUGCGUGGUUCCCCAGCACCAGAUGCGGUCUUGCAGUUGCUAUCCUGCAAGUGUGUGAGUACAUGCAAACCACCAGACUGAUCUUAGAAGUAGAUCUUAUUUUGUUGCUAAUGUCUUCUUGCCCUGCACUAGCCAGGAUGAUUGUAUAUUGAGUUCCUGCAUUGAAAAUAUCUCAGCGUCAUAUUAAAGUUGUGUUAUUAUAAUGCUAUUAGUCUGCAUUUACUUUACUUCUUCGGUCUUGCAGUUGCUAUCCUGCAAGUGUGUGAGGACAUGCAAACCACCAGACUGCACCUGUCUCAGCAAUGGGCUGAAGUGCACAAACCUGUGCAAAUUACAAACUUGUGCCAACCAAUACAGUGAGGAAGAGCCCCUUGCACACCCGGCAGAUUCAGAUGUAGAA
Xyrichtys novacula (pearly razorfish) is the source of this 914-nucleotide non-coding RNA. Lineage: Eukaryota; Metazoa; Chordata; Actinopteri; Labriformes; Labridae. The record is from the annotation of a GenBank genome assembly.